Molecule: ribosomal RNA, 1002 nt
Filed under: uncultured bacterium
Lineage: Bacteria
Description: bacterial SSU rRNA
Rfam family: Bacterial small subunit ribosomal RNA
Source: RNAcentral
GUGCCAGCCGCCGCGGUAAUACAGAGGGUGCAAACGUUGUUCGGAAUUAUUGGGCGUAAAGGGCGCGUAGGCGGCCCCGUGUGUCUGGUGUGAAAACCCACCUCUCAAGGGUGGAAGUGCGCUGGAAACUACGGAGCUCGAGUGCCGGAGAGGGUAGUGGAAUUCCCGGUGUAGAGGUGAAAUUCGUAGAUAUCGGGAAGAACACCGGUGGCGAAGGCGGCUACCUGGACGGACACUGACGCUGAGGCGCGAAAGCGUGGGAAGCAAACAGGAUUAGAUACCCUGGUAGUCCACGCCGUAAACGAUGGGUGCUAGGUGUUGUGGGUAUUGACCCCCGCAGUGCCGACGCUAACGCAUUAAGCACCCCGCCUGGGGAGUACGGCCGCAAGGCUAAAACUCAAAGGAAUUGACGGGGGUCCGCACAAGCGGUGGAGUAUGUGGUUUAAUUCGACGCAACGCGAAGAACCUUACCCAGCCUUGACAUCCCAGGAACGCCUUAGAAAUAAGGGGGUGCCCCGAAAGGGGAGCCUGGAGACAGGUGCUGCAUGGCUGUCGUCAGCUCGUGUCGUGAGAUGUUGGGUUAAGUCCCGCAACGAGCGCAACCCUUGCUCGUAGUUGCCAGCGAGUUAUGUCGGGCACUCUACGAGGACUGCCGGCGUUAAGCCGGAGGAAGGUGGGGAUGACGUCAAGUCCUCAUGGCCUUUAUGGCUGGGGCUACACACGUACUACAAUGGGCGUUACAAAGGGCUACGAGACCGCGAGGUGGAGUGAAUCCCAAAAAAACGCUCUCAGUUCAGAUUGCAGUCUGCAACUCGACUGCAUGAAGGUGGAAUCGCUAGUAAUCGCAUAUCAGCAGGAUGCGGUGAAUACGUUCCCGGGCCUUGUACACACCGCCCGUCACACCACGAAAGUCGGUUGCACCAGAAGUGGUUUGCCAAACCGUAAGGAAGGCGGCCCCUAAGGUGUGGCUGGUGAUUGGGGUGAAGUCGUAACAAGGUAACC